This is a non-coding RNA of Triticum aestivum (bread wheat), 103 nucleotides long. The record is from Rfam. Lineage: Eukaryota; Viridiplantae; Streptophyta; Magnoliopsida; Poales; Poaceae.
GUCCCUUCGGGGACUUCCGAUAAAAUUGGAACGAUACAGAGAACAUUAGCAUGGCCCCUGCGCCAGGAUGACCCGCACAAAUCGAGAAAUGGUCCAAUUUUUU